This 580-nucleotide ribosomal RNA is filed under the name fungal sp. QmPlVG-2-49. Its description in RNAcentral is "LSU rRNA". It matches the Rfam family "Eukaryotic large subunit ribosomal RNA", at positions 62 to 648 of the family's 3401-position model. RNAcentral also lists the same sequence under 2 other names. Lineage: Eukaryota; Fungi. The record is from RNAcentral.
AAACCAACAGGGAUUGCCUUAGUAACGGCGAGUGAAGCGGCAAAAGCUCAAAUUUGAAAUCUAGCACUUUCAGUGUUCGAGUUGUAAUUUGAAGAUAUUUUUUCUGGUUAUUCCUUUAUCUAUGUUCCUUGGAACAGGACGUCAUAGAGGGUGAGAAUCCCGUAUGAUUUUGGAUCCUAACCUUUGUGAAAUUUUAUCGAAGAGUCGAGUUGUUUGGGAAUGCAGCUCUAAGUGGGUGGUAAAUUCCAUCUAAAGCUAAAUAUUGGCGAGAGACCGAUAGCAAACAAGUACAGUGAUGGAAAGAUGAAAAGAACUCUGAAGAGAGAGUGAAAAAGUACGUGAAAUUGCUGAAAGGGAAGGGCUUUAGGUCAGACUUGGUGUUCUACGAUUAUCUUCUUUUUUUAAGUUGUGCACUCGUUUUUCACUGGGCCAAUAUCAGUUUCUUCAAUAGAGCACCUUUAGGAAUGUGACCCUUUUCUUUUUUGAUUAGGGUGUUAUAGCCUUUGGACGAUCUAUUUGUCGAGACUGAGGACUGCGUAAAUUUAUUUACUAGGAUAUUGGCGUAAUGACCUUAAGCCGC